Molecule: ribosomal RNA, 467 nt
Filed under: uncultured bacterium
Lineage: Bacteria
Description: partial 16S ribosomal RNA
Rfam family: Bacterial small subunit ribosomal RNA
Source: RNAcentral
GACGAACGCUGGCGGCGUGCUUAACACAUGCAAGUCGAACGGAAAGGCCUCUUUCGGGGGGUACUCGAGUGGCGAACGGGUGAGUAACACGUGAGUAACCUGCCCUUGACUUUGGGAUAACUUCAGGAAACUGGGGCUAAUACCGGAUAGGAGCUCCUGCUGCAUGGUGGGGGUUGGAAAGUUUCGGCGGUUGGGGAUGGACUCGCGGCGUAUCAGCUUGUUGGUGGGGUAGUGGAUUACCAAGGCGUUGACGGGUAGCCGGCCUGAGAGGGUGACCGGCGACAUUGGGACUGAGAUACGGCCCAGACUCCGACGGGAGGCAGCAGUGGGGAAUCUUGCACAAUGGGUGGAAGCCUGAUGCAGAAACGCCGCGUGCGGGAUGACGGCCUUAGGGUUGUAAAACGCUUUCGCUCAUGACGAAGCUUUGUGUGACGGUAGUGGGUAAAGAAGCACCGGCUAACUACGUG